RNAcentral lists this unclassified non-coding RNA (348 nucleotides) under soil metagenome. RNAcentral's name for it is "partial contains 5.8S ribosomal RNA, internal transcribed spacer 2, and large subunit ribosomal RNA". The stretch from base 1 to 120 matches the Rfam family "5.8S ribosomal RNA", at positions 35 to 154 of the family's 154-position model. The record is from RNAcentral.
GAUGAAGAACGUAGCAAAAUGCGAUAAGUAAUGUGAAUUGCAGAAUUCAGUGAAUCAUCGAAUCUUUGAACGCACAUUGCGCCCGCUGGUAUUCCGGCGGGCAUGCCUGUUCGAGCGUCAUUUCAACCCUCAAGCCCCCGGGUUUGGUGUUGGGGAUCGGCUCUGCCCUUCUGGGCGGUGCCGCCCCCGAAAUACAUUGGCGGUCUUGCUGCAGCCUCCAUUGCGUAGUAGCUAACACCUCGCAACUGGAACGCGGCGCGGCCAUGCCGUAAAACCCCAACUUCUGAAUGUUGACCUCGGAUCAGGUAGGAAUACCCGCUGAACUUAAGCAUAUCAAUAAGCGGAGGA